UGGGGAAUUUUGGACAAUGGGCGCAAGCCUGAUCCAGCCAUUCCGCGUGCAGGAUGAAGGCCCUCGGGUUGUAAACUGCUUUUGUACGGAACGAAAAGGCUUUCUCUAAUACAGAGAGCUCAUGACGGUACCGUAAGAAUAAGCACCGGCUAACUACGUGCCAGCAGCCGCGGUAAUACGUAGGGUGCAAGCGUUAAUCGGAAUUACUGGGCGUAAAGCGUGCGCAGGCGGUGAUGUAAAGACAGAUGUGAAAAUCCCCGGGCUCAAACCUGGGAACUGCAUUUUGUGACUGCAUCGCUGGAGUGCGGCAGAGGGGAUGGAAUUCGCGUGUAGCAGUGAAAUGCGUAGAUAUGCGGAGGAACACCGAUGGCGAAGGCAAUCCCCUGGGCCUGCACUGACGCUCAUGCACGAAAAGCGUGGGGAGCAAAACAGGAUUAGAUACCCUGGUAGUCCACGCCCUAAAACGAUGUCAACUGGUUGUUGGGUCUUCAC
RNAcentral lists this ribosomal RNA (492 nucleotides) under uncultured bacterium. RNAcentral's name for it is "partial 16S ribosomal RNA". It matches the Rfam family "Bacterial small subunit ribosomal RNA", at positions 355 to 834 of the family's 1533-position model. The record is from RNAcentral.